This 643-nucleotide ribosomal RNA is filed under the name Clostridioides difficile. RNAcentral describes it as "partial 23S ribosomal RNA". It matches the Rfam family "Bacterial large subunit ribosomal RNA", at positions 13 to 660 of the family's 2925-position model. Lineage: Bacteria; Bacillati; Bacillota; Clostridia; Peptostreptococcales; Peptostreptococcaceae. The record is from RNAcentral.
AAGGGUGCAGGGCGGAUGCCUUGGCACUAGGAGCCGAUGAAGGACGUGAUAAGCUGCGAUAAGCUUCGGGGAGUUGCACGUAAACUUUGAUCCGAAGAUUUCCGAAUGAGGAAACUCACUUAGAGUAAUGUCUAAGUAUCAUUAAGUGAAUACAUAGCUUAAUGAGGGGAACUCAGGGAACUGAAACAUCUAAGUACCUGAAGGAAGAGAAAGAAAUUCGAUUCCGUAAGUAGCGGCGAGCGAACGCGGAUUAGCCCAAACCAAUAAAGUUUUCUUUAUUGGGGUUGCGGACAUAUCAUAACGAAGAGGUAUCGUAAUUGAAGAGGUUUGGAAAGACCCACCACAGAAGGUAAUAGUCCUGUAUGUUAAACGAGAAGACUUUAGAUAUGAUCCAGAGUACCACGGGACACGUGAAACCCUGUGGGAAGCAGGAGGGACCACCCUCCAAGGCUAAAUACUACCUAGUGACCGAUAGCGUAUAGUACCGUGAGGGAAAGGUGAAAAGAACCCCGGGAGGGGAGUGAAAUAGAACCUGAAACCCUGCACUUACAAGCUGUGGAAGCACAUUUCUUGUGUGACCGCGUACUUUUUGUAGAACGGGCCAACGAGUUACGUUAAGUAGCAAGGUUAAGCACUUAAGGUG